GAACGAGAAAGCGGGCUUCGGUCCGUGAGUAAAGUGGCAGACGGGUGAGUAACACGUGGGUAACCUGCCCGGAGGUGGGGGAUAACCCUUCGAAAGGAGGGCUAAUACCGCAUGAUAUCUCGAGAGCCUAGGCUCCCGAGUUCAAAGCUUGCCUCUACUCGUAAGCAAGCGCCACCGGAGGGACCCGCGCCCCAUUAGCUUGAUGGUGAGGUAGUGGCUCACCAUGGCGACGAUGGGUAGCCGGCCUGAGAGGGUGACCGGCCACACUGGAACUGAGACACGGUCCAGACUCCUGCGGGAGGCAGCAGUGAGGAAUUUUGCGCAAUGGGCGAAAGCCUGACGCAGCGACGCCGCGUGGAGGACGAAGGCCUUCGGGUCGUAAACUCCUGUCAAGCGGGACGAAUCCCGGGCGGAUGAAUAAGCCGACCGGUUGACGGUACCGCUGAAGGAAGCCCCGGCUAACUCCGUGCCAGCAGCCGCGGUAAUACGGAGGGGGCUAGCGUUGUUCGGAAUUAUUGGGCGUAAAGGGCGCGUAGGCGGCUCUGCAAGUCGGAGGUGAAAUCCCUCGGCUCAACCGGGGAACUGCCUCCGAAACUGCAGGGCUUGAGUCCCGGAGAGGAUAGCGGAAUUCCCAGUGUAGCGGUGAAAUGCGUAGAUA
This 658-nucleotide ribosomal RNA is filed under the name uncultured bacterium. RNAcentral's name for it is "bacterial SSU rRNA". It matches the Rfam family "Bacterial small subunit ribosomal RNA", at positions 64 to 696 of the family's 1533-position model. The record is from RNAcentral.